This 28-nucleotide non-coding RNA is filed under the name Homo sapiens (human). Lineage: Eukaryota; Metazoa; Chordata; Mammalia; Primates; Hominidae. The record is from RNAcentral.
CAGCAGCGUGUGGAAUUCAGUUCGGGGU